GACGAACGCUGGCGGCGUGCUUAACACAUGCAAGUCGAACGGAAAGGCCCUGCUUUUGUGGGGUGCUCGAGUGGCGAACGGGUGAGUAACACGUGAGUAACCUGCCCUUGACUUUGGGAUAACUUCAGGAAACUGGGGCUAAUACCGGAUAGGAGCUCCUGCUGCAUGGUGGGGGUUGGAAAGUUUCGGCGGUUGGGGAUGGACUCGCGGCUUAUCAGCUUGUUGGUGGGGUAGUGGCUUACCAAGGCUUUGACGGGUAGCCGGCCUGAGAGGGUGACCGGCCACAUUGGGACUGAGAUACGGCCCAGACUCCUACGGGAGGCAGCAGUGGGGAAUAUUGCACAAUGGGCGGAAGCCUGAUGCAGCAACACCGCGUGCGGGAUGACGGCCUUCGGGUUGUAAACCGCUUUCACCUGUGACGAAGCGUGAGUGACGGUAAUGGGUAAAGAAGCACCGGCUAACUACGUG
Molecule: ribosomal RNA, 468 nt
Filed under: uncultured bacterium
Lineage: Bacteria
Description: partial 16S ribosomal RNA
Rfam family: Bacterial small subunit ribosomal RNA
Source: RNAcentral